GUGACCUGCCCCGCGCCCCACGCCCUGCCGGGGUCCCUACUCAGGACCCUGACUCUCCUGGCUCUCGAAAGUGGGUUGUGAGUCGCUCAAGAGACUGUGUCUUGCCCCAGCAACCAGCACAGAACAAACAGGGUUCUCCAGAUCCUGGAGAACCAAGAUGGUGGAACUGAAGAACAAGAGCUAACCUGAGAAGAGGGGGAGCAAACCAGAAGGACAGCGAUGGAGUCACAGGACUGAUGUUAAAAACCCAGACAUGAUAAAGGUGGAAACUGAGCAAACAAUCCCAGCUCACGGAAAGGGGUCCAGUGCGUAGCAGCUUUCCCGUGUGAUGGCCCGGUGUUACCAGAUGAAGUGAUGUGAGCAUCUAGGACUCCUGGAUUAGCAAGCAUCUGGUUGGCUCAGUUGCAGCAGACAACAGUUGGGUAUGGUCCGUGUUGAAAGCUCGCAGCACCAGAGUGAGCCUCUGAGAGUCAGUUUGCAGAUCCUGGAGAUUAACUCUAAGGACCACUCCCUCUGCAUGUCCCGUCUAUAUGAUGGGCAUCU
Molecule: long non-coding RNA, 543 nt
Organism: Microtus ochrogaster (prairie vole)
Lineage: Eukaryota; Metazoa; Chordata; Mammalia; Rodentia; Cricetidae
Exons: 3
Source: RefSeq, a predicted model, not a curated record